UCCGGUUUGUCACCGGCAGUAUCCUAAGAGUGCCCAGCCGAACUGAUGGCAACAUAGGAUGAGGGUUGCGCUCGUUGCGGGACUUAACCCAACAUCUCACGACACGAGCUGACGACGGCCAUGCACCACCUGUGACGGUGCCCCGAAGGGAAAGUGUGUUUCCACACCGGUCACCGACAUGUCAAGCCCAGGUAAGGUUCUACGCGUAGCGAUGAAUUAAACCACAUGCUCCGCUGCUUGUGCGGGCCCCCGUCAAUUCCUUUGAGUUUUAGCCUUGCGGCCGUACUCCCCAGGCGGGACACUUAAUGCGUUAGCUUCGGCACGGGAGGAGUCGACACCUCCCACACCUAGUGUCCAUCGUUUACGGCGUGGACUAC
RNAcentral lists this unclassified non-coding RNA (377 nucleotides) under uncultured Solirubrobacterales bacterium. Its description in RNAcentral is "contains 16S-23S intergenic spacer region". Lineage: Bacteria; Bacillati; Actinomycetota; Thermoleophilia; Solirubrobacterales. The record is from RNAcentral.